GUCGAGAGGCUUCGGCAAUGGGGGAAACCCUGACCGAGCGACGCCGCGUGGGCGAUGAAGGCCUUCGGGUUGUAAAGCCCUGUCGUGCGGGAAGAAGGGUCCAACGGCAAACAGCCGAGGGACCUUGACGGUACCGCAAAAGGAAGCUCCGGCUAACUCCGUGCCAGCAGCCGCGGUAAUACGGGGGGAGCAAACGUUGUUCGGAAUCACUGGGCGUAAAGGGCGCGCAGGCGGCCUUGUAAGUGGGAUGUGAAAGGCCCUGGCUCAACCAGGGAUGUGCCUCCCAUACUGCUGGGCUUGAGUGCAGGAGAGGAUGGGGGAAUUCCCGGUGUAGCGGUGAAAUGCAUUGAUAUCGGGAGGAACACCAGUGGCGAAGGCGCCCAUCUGGCCUGCAACUGACGCUGAGGCGCGAAAGCUGGGGGAGCAAACAGGAUUAGAUACCCGAGUAGUCC
This 452-nucleotide ribosomal RNA is filed under the name uncultured bacterium. RNAcentral's name for it is "bacterial SSU rRNA". It matches the Rfam family "Bacterial small subunit ribosomal RNA", at positions 354 to 796 of the family's 1533-position model. The record is from RNAcentral.